This 253-nucleotide ribosomal RNA is filed under the name uncultured bacterium. Its description in RNAcentral is "partial 16S ribosomal RNA". It matches the Rfam family "Bacterial small subunit ribosomal RNA", at positions 524 to 776 of the family's 1533-position model. The record is from RNAcentral.
UACAGAGGUCCCAAGCGUUGUUCGGAUUCACUGGGCGUAAAGGGUGCGUAGGUGGUCAGGCAAGUCUGAUGUGAAAUCUCCGAGCUCAACUCGGAAACUGCAUCGGAAACUGCUUGGCUAGAGGGUUGAAGGGGGGACUGGAAUACUUGGUGUAGCAGUGAAAUGCGUAGAUAUCAAGUGGAACACCAGUGGCGAAGGCGAGUCCCUGGACAACUCCUGACACUGAGGCACGAAAGCUAGGGGAGCAAACAGG